GACGAACGCUGGCGGCGUGCUUAACACAUGCAAGUCGAACGGAAAGGCCCUGCUUUUGUGGGGUGCUCGAGUGGCGAACGGGUGAGUAACACGUGAGUAACCUGCCCUUGACUUUGGGAUAACUUCAGGAAACUGGGGCUAAUACCGGAUAGGAGCUCCUGCUGCAUGGUGGGGGUUGGAAAGUUUCGGCGGUUGGGGAUGGACUCGCGGCUUAUCAGCUUGUUGGUGGGGUAGUGGCUUACCAAGGCUUUGACGGGUAGCCGGCCGGAGAGGGUGACCGGCAAAAGGGGGGUUGAGCAAAGGCCCGACGCCCGACGGGAGGCAGCAGGGGGGAAUAGACCAAAAGGGGGGGACGCCGCACGCAGCAGGGCCGGGUGCGGAAGAGCGGCCAUGGGGGUAGAACCCUGUUCCCCAUGUGAAGAAGGGGAAGGGAGGGUUGUGGAAAAAGAACCACGCGCUAAUAAGGCG
RNAcentral lists this ribosomal RNA (468 nucleotides) under uncultured bacterium. RNAcentral describes it as "partial 16S ribosomal RNA". It matches the Rfam family "Bacterial small subunit ribosomal RNA", at positions 28 to 507 of the family's 1533-position model. The record is from RNAcentral.